Molecule: small nucleolar RNA, 249 nt
Filed under: Exophiala mesophila
Lineage: Eukaryota; Fungi; Ascomycota; Eurotiomycetes; Chaetothyriales; Herpotrichiellaceae
Description: Small nucleolar RNA snR191
Rfam family: Small nucleolar RNA snR191
Source: Rfam by way of RNAcentral
UUCCAUCGCUAAGUCAAGAUACCUUUCCGCAAUCCUUUGCAAACUCUCCAUGAAAGUCAUCUGUUACAGCUUUGGUAAAUUAAGCCGCAUCCGCCAGUCUCUGUUUCGGCAGUUCUUGGUUCCCGACAUAACAUCCGUCUUGGAGGUUUUGUCAACAGGAUGCAUGGCGUGUCUCGUUGUGAGUUGAGGUUUGCUUUGCCUUGUUGGCUUUUGACGAUAGCACGUCUCUUAGUAAUGGUUCACACAUAC